UUUGUUAGUUUAAAGGCAAGGGGUCGUUCCCUUAAUUAUAUCUAUCCGGGAUAUGCCCGAGGGGUUUGUAUAUAUUUUAUCCGGAAUAUGCCCCGAAGUAUUUGUAUUUGAAGGUCGAAGACGGAACGGUUCGAGGAAGCAUAGAAUAGUAUUUUAUUUUUGUUUUAUUAGGUGGGGACUACCUUGAGCCUCUUUUGAUUGUUUAUUUUCUCUUUGUGUGCUUUUACCUCAAUUUGAAUAUCUUAAAAGUCAACUUGAUCGAGUAUGCAACCUUGACGUUCGCGGGACUUGAGGAGUGUUUUACCUUAAUCUCUGGUGCAGACUUAGUUUUAGAGUUCAAAGUAUUUUAAAAGGAAACUUAUUAUUUUUUUAUUUUAUUCUUUUUAGAAAAAGAGGUGACCUGGCACACUGAAAUCAAAUGUCAGGUGGCGACUCUGAGUUUAUUCUCUUUUAAAUACAAUAUUUGUCACUUUUAAAAUUGAAAAC
RNAcentral lists this long non-coding RNA (486 nucleotides) under Nicotiana benthamiana. RNAcentral describes it as "long non-coding RNA (NBEN_LNC041500)". Lineage: Eukaryota; Viridiplantae; Streptophyta; Magnoliopsida; Solanales; Solanaceae. The record is from RNAcentral.